Molecule: ribosomal RNA, 497 nt
Filed under: uncultured bacterium
Lineage: Bacteria
Description: partial 16S ribosomal RNA
Rfam family: Bacterial small subunit ribosomal RNA
Source: RNAcentral
GAUGAACGCUGGCGGCGUGCCUAAUACAUGCAAGUCGAGCGAACAGAUGAGGAGCUUGCUCCUCUGACGUUAGCGGCGGACGGGUGAGUAACACGUGGAUAACCUACCUAUAAGACUGGGAUAACUUCGGGAAACCGGAGCUAAUACCGGAUAAUAUAUUGAACCGCAUGGUUCAAUAGUGAAAGACGGUUUUGCUGUCACUUAUAGAUGGAUCCGCGCCGCAUUAGCUAGUUGGUAAGGUAACGGCUUACCAAGGCAACGAUGCAUAGCCGACCUGAGAGGGUGAUCGGCCACACUGGAACUGAGACACGGUCCAGACUCCUACGGGAGGCAGCAGUAGGGAAUCUUCCGCAAAGGGCGAAAGCCUGACGGAGCAACGCCGCGUGAGUGAUGAAGGUCUUCGGAUCGUAAAACUCUGUUAUUAGGGAAGAACAUAUGUGUAAGUAACUAUGCACGUCUUGACGGUACCUAAUCAGAAAGCCACGGCUAACUACGUG